Molecule: ribosomal RNA, 492 nt
Filed under: uncultured bacterium
Lineage: Bacteria
Description: partial 16S ribosomal RNA
Rfam family: Bacterial small subunit ribosomal RNA
Source: RNAcentral
AGUGAGCGCUGGCGGUAGGCCUAACACAUGCAAGUCGAACGGCAGCACAGUAAGUGCUUGCUCUUACGGGUGGCGAGUGGCGGACGUGUGAGGAAUACAUCGUAAUCUACUUUUUCGUGGGGGAUAACGUAGGUAAACUUACGCUAAUACCGCAUACGACCUACGGGUGAAAGCAGUGGAUCUUCGGACCUUGCGCGGUUGAAUGAGCCGAUGUCGGAUUAGCUAGUUGGCGGGGUAAAUGCCCACCAAUGCGACGAUCCGUAGCUGGUCUGAGAGGAGGGUAAGCCACACUGGAGCUGAACCACGGUCCAGACUCCUACGGGAGGCAGCAGUGGCGAAUAUUGGACAAUGGGCGGAAGCCUGAUCCAGCCAUACCGAGUGGGUGAAGAAGGCCUUCGGGUUGUAAAGCCCUUUUGUUGGGAAAGAAAAGCAGCAGGUUAAUACCCCGCUGUUCUGACGGUACCCAAAGAAUAAGCACCGGCUAACUUCGUG